This 564-nucleotide ribosomal RNA is filed under the name uncultured archaeon. Its description in RNAcentral is "bacterial SSU rRNA". It matches the Rfam family "Archaeal small subunit ribosomal RNA", at positions 325 to 882 of the family's 1478-position model. The record is from RNAcentral.
ACGGGGUGCAGCAGGCGCGAAACCUCCGCAAUGUGAGAAAUCGCGACGGGGGGAUCCCAAGUGCCAUUCUUAACGGGAUGGCUUUUCAUUAGUGUAAAGAGCUUUUGGAAUAAGGGCUGGGCAAGACCGGUGCCAGCCGCCGCGGUAACACCGGCAGCUCUAGUGGUAGCAGUUUUUAUUGGGCCUAAAGCGUCCGUAGCCGGUUUAAUAAGUCUCUGGUGAAAUCCUGUAGCUUAACUGUGGGAAUUGCUGGAGAUACUAUUAGACUUGAGACCGGGAGAGGUUAGAGGUACUCCCAGGGUAGAGGUGAAAUUCUGUAAUCCUGGGAGGACCGCCUGUUGCGAAGGCGUCUAACUGGAACGGUUCUGACGGUGAGGGACGAAAGUUAGGGGCGCGAACCGGAUUAGAUACCCGGGUAGUCCUAACUGUAAACGAUGCGGACUUGGUGUUGGGGUGGCUUUGAGCUGUUCCAGUGCCGAAGGGAAAGCUUGUUAAGUCCGCCCGCCUGGGGAAGUACGGUCGCAAGACUGAAAACUUAAAAGGGAAAUUGGCGGGGGGAGCCAC